UAACAAGGAUUCCCCUAGUAACUGCGAGUGAAGCGGGAUGAGCUCAAAUUUAAAAUCUGGCGUCUUCGGCGUCCGAGUUGUAAUUUAGAGAAGCGUUUUCCGCGCCGGACCGUGUACAAGUCUCCUGGAACGGAGCGUCAUAGAGGGUGAGAAUCCCGUCUUUGACACGGACCCCCGGUGCUCUGUGAUACGCUCUCGAAGAGUCGAGUUGUUUGGGAAUGCAGCUCAAAAUGGGUGGUGAACUCCAUCUAAAGCUAAAUAUUGGCGAGAGACCGAUAGCGAACAAGUACCGUGAGGGAAAGAUGAAAAGCACUUUGGAAAGAGAGUGAAACAGUACGUGAAAUUGUUGAAAGGGAAACGCUUGAAGUCAGUCGCGUCUGUCAGGGUUCAGCCUCACGGUGUACUCUCUGGUAGACGGGCCAGCAUCACUUUCGAUCGUCGGACAAGGGAGUUGGGAAUGUGGCACCUUCGGGUGUGUUAUAGCCCUUCUUCGUAUACGGCGACCGGGAGUGAGGACCGCCUUUGUAGGAUGCUGGCGU
RNAcentral lists this ribosomal RNA (539 nucleotides) under Peniophora sp. KUC8015. RNAcentral describes it as "LSU rRNA". It matches the Rfam family "Eukaryotic large subunit ribosomal RNA", at positions 66 to 632 of the family's 3401-position model. Lineage: Eukaryota; Fungi; Basidiomycota; Agaricomycetes; Russulales; Peniophoraceae. The record is from RNAcentral.